Molecule: ribosomal RNA, 253 nt
Filed under: uncultured bacterium
Lineage: Bacteria
Description: partial 16S ribosomal RNA
Rfam family: Bacterial small subunit ribosomal RNA
Source: RNAcentral
UACGAAGGGGGCUAGCGUUGCUCGGAAUCACUGGGCGUAAAGCGCACGUAGGCGGACUCUUAAGUCGGUGGUGAAAUCCUGGAGCUCAACUCCAGAACUGCCUUUGAUACUGAAGAUCUUGAGUUCGGGAGAGGUGAGUGGAACUGCGAGUGUAGAGGUGAAAUUCGUAGAUAUCGGAAGGAACACCUGUGGCGAAAGCGGCUCACUGGACCAUUACUGACGCUGAGGCACGAAAGCUAGGGGAGCAAACAGG